GAAUAAAUAACCCCGUUGAGGAAAAUACAUAUCUUAGGCUUAAGAAAACAAUUAGACGGCAUAUGGAUUUUUCUCCAGGAAGAAUCCAUUCCAAGAGUUCGAAUUCUAGUAUUAAUGACUCGAUUCCAUUGUUUUUUCGCACAAAAAUAUGAAGCAAUUUGUAUUUUCCCGUUAUCGAAUCAAAUCCCAGAAAAAGUUGAGGAUCCAAUGGAUAUUGAGCCUGAAUUUCUUGAUUCAUAGAGAAUGUCAAAGCUUUUAUCUCUCCUGUUGUGACAUUAUACGAAUAAGUCUGAGUAUCUUUAAAG
Molecule: long non-coding RNA, 305 nt
Filed under: Nicotiana benthamiana
Lineage: Eukaryota; Viridiplantae; Streptophyta; Magnoliopsida; Solanales; Solanaceae
Description: long non-coding RNA (NBEN_LNC011974)
Source: RNAcentral